Molecule: long non-coding RNA, 1288 nt
Filed under: Nothobranchius furzeri (turquoise killifish)
Lineage: Eukaryota; Metazoa; Chordata; Actinopteri; Cyprinodontiformes; Nothobranchiidae
Description: lncRNA (ENSNFUG00015020038.1)
Source: RNAcentral
GCCACGGCUGCUGCCCUGUCCUCAGGGGAGUUUACUCGUUUCUUAAAGUGAGGAUGAGUUUCUCAAGACGACAACAAAAAAGUGCCCUGUGGAGGCUGGCGGGAGAACUCUUCUUCCUGUAUCGGAUCAGUUCUGCUGCUUCGGCUCAUGUUACAGGCGUUUUGGAAACUGACCCUUGCAAACUCUGACUUGUGAAAAAUUGGAUUCCCCAUGAACACAGAAGGAUUUGAGUUGCUUGUCAUCAACACCUCACGGACAGAGUUUUGCAGCAGUGGAACGACAGGACGAGGAGGACGUGAAUGCAAAAGUUAUUUUACAGGAAAUGUGUGUUGAGUGGUGGGUUUGGGCACCGGGCACGGAUGGCCUUGGCACUCGAGCGGCCAGACUGCGGUGGGAGACCUACAUGCAGCCUGGAUGGGUUUUAGGACGUGGCUCUAGGAGAGCAGGAGGAAGAAAUCUGCACCACUUUGUCUGGAGCAGAGGCAACGAAGGGGAACGUGCAAAAGUGACCAUCACAGCUAUCAGCCGUGGAUCGGCGAGGAAGGACUGUGAUUUACAGAUAGCACCUUGUCUCUCCUGCUGGCACCCCGUCAUUACACCGAGCUGAGCACUGGGAGAUAGGUGCUGCGAACAAGAAAGGACCUCUUCUGUAAAUGUCAACGCCAGUCAGAGCCUCAAAUUUUCUCCAUUAACUCUUUCCCCUGCAGUUCUCCAUACUCUAAGCCAAUAAUUACAUGACUUACUCCCUCCUAUUACCAAAUGUUUGGGGUCUAAGUGAUGUUAGAACAUCUGGACAACACACACUCAAAGGAAAAUAAAGCUAUUUGCCAUUUAAUUUAUCUUUCACUGUCUUAAUAGUCUUCUGCUGGCAUGUUUUCUAAGAAGUCACUUUGUGUUCUGAUUUGCAAAAUUUGUCAAAAUUCUGUAUUAAAAGGUUUUAUGGUAUUAAUGUGACUAGAAAUAAGGCAGAAUGCAAACAGUCAGCGCAGGUACGGGAAAUUAAUUUCAUGCUUCAUUCUGUGUUCCUGCUUUUGACCAUGACCUGAAGUUAGUGUGUGGUUACGGUGUGAAAUAGUAAUUUCAGCUCAGAUUCUACGGCAAAAAAAUGUUUUCAUUAUGAAACCAUAAAAAAACACAAGUGCUUAUUAUUUGAAUAUGCAGUUAUGUUCUAAUUAAAUAUUUAUUUUGCAUGAGUGUGUGCAUGUGAUGGAGAUUUCUGUUUGGAUUGAGGGAUAAGACUUUGUGUGUAUGUGUGUGUGUGUGUGUGUGUGCGUGCGCGGGGGUGGGG